UUCAUUACUGCACUGAAGUACUUAGUGUUAGAGUCCCCAAGUUGUAUCCAUUUUUCUCUUGCCUUCUGUUGCAGAACACUUUCCUCAAUCAGUGACCAUUUUUCCAGUUGUAGGACCAACUCCUUCACCUUUUGUUGUACGCCAUCAGUGUAUGCUUGACUCAGCUGGGCUUGUAAGGUCCCUAGUUCCUGUCGACACUGUUCUAUUUUGUGUGAAAUUGUCUUGAAUUCCUUAUUAUUCAGGGUCUUCAAGGGACUCUUCAAGGCAUUGAGUUUGUCCGAUAUUGAUCUCAUUGUGUCUGCCUUCCC
Molecule: long non-coding RNA, 308 nt
Filed under: Nicotiana benthamiana
Lineage: Eukaryota; Viridiplantae; Streptophyta; Magnoliopsida; Solanales; Solanaceae
Description: long non-coding RNA (NBEN_LNC034563)
Source: RNAcentral